UGGGGAAUAUUGCGCAAUGGGGGAAACCCUGACGCAGCGACGCCGCGUUCGGGAUGAAGGCCUUCGGGUUGUAAACCGCUUUUGAUUGGGAGCAAGCUUUCGGGUGAGUGUACCUUUCGAAUAAGCGCCGGCUAACUACGUGCCAGCCGCCGCGGUAAUACGUAGGGCGCAAGCGUUAUCCGGAAUUAUUGGGCGUAAAGCGAGCGCAGGCGGUUAGAAAAGUCUGAAGUGAAAGGCAGUGGCUCAACCAUUGUAGGCUUUGGAAACUGUUUAACUUGAGUGCAGAAGGGGAGAGUGGAAUUCCAUGUGUAGCGGUGAAAUGCGUAGAUAUAUGGAGGAACACCGGUGGCGAAAGCGGCUCUCUGGUCUGUAACUGACGCUGAGGCUCGAAAGCGUGGGGAGCGAACAGG
This 410-nucleotide ribosomal RNA is filed under the name Bacteroidota bacterium. RNAcentral describes it as "Bacteroidetes bacterium partial 16S ribosomal RNA". It matches the Rfam family "Bacterial small subunit ribosomal RNA", at positions 355 to 776 of the family's 1533-position model. Lineage: Bacteria; Pseudomonadati; Bacteroidota. The record is from RNAcentral.